AACCAUAGAAACCUGCGGAGUACCUGCGGAGGGAUCAUUAUAGUAUAUGGAAUCUCCAUUCUAUAACCCACUCUGCGUAUCUUGUAACUGUUGCUUCCAUGGGACUUGGUUCCGCCACACCGGCUUCACGGCUGGUGAGCGCCCAUGGAAGGAGAAACAAAACUCUUCUUUGAAAUGUAGUCAGUCUGAACAAGUUUUUAUAAACGUUAAAACUUUUAGCAACGGAUCUCAGAUCGGAAG
This 240-nucleotide unclassified non-coding RNA is filed under the name soil metagenome. RNAcentral's name for it is "partial contains 5.8S ribosomal RNA, internal transcribed spacer 2, and large subunit ribosomal RNA". The record is from RNAcentral.